Molecule: non-coding RNA, 84 nt
Organism: Termitomyces sp. 'cryptogamus'
Lineage: Eukaryota; Fungi; Basidiomycota; Agaricomycetes; Agaricales; Lyophyllaceae
Source: the annotation of a GenBank genome assembly
UCUUCGCUAGUAUAUCGGUUAGUACACGCGCCUGUCAUGAAUAUAGGUUCGCGCGAAAGCUGGGUUCGACUCCCAGGCGAAGAG